UGCCCAGCUGUUCACCAGAGUCUACGGGAUU
Molecule: non-coding RNA, 31 nt
Filed under: Mus musculus (house mouse)
Lineage: Eukaryota; Metazoa; Chordata; Mammalia; Rodentia; Muridae
Source: RNAcentral